This 506-nucleotide long non-coding RNA is filed under the name Daphnia pulex (common water flea). RNAcentral's name for it is "uncharacterized LOC124202125, transcript variant X1". Lineage: Eukaryota; Metazoa; Arthropoda; Branchiopoda; Diplostraca; Daphniidae. The record is from RNAcentral.
AAAUUCUUACUGCAUUCUUGACUAACUUUUACUACUUCUUGACUUUCAUGUACCUGGCCAACUAGGUACAACUGCUCGUGACAAUAGAAAUGAAAUGGUCUAAUCCAAAAAUGCAAGCUCACAACCUAUGUCUUCUGAAGCAAAAUCAUUUCUGUUGCAGUUGUAAAUCUUCAAGAUAUUGAUGCCUUCGCCAGAUCUAAUUCUUUGAUGCUAUCUAUUUUGCGACAACAGCAAGAAAAUGCUGCUACUCAUAAUUUUAUGGUUACCACUUACCACCAGUCACCACUUUGUUCUAAUUUAGGACAAGGUUUAUCUUGUAUGUUCGCGUAGUUGCUGUCCGCUGUGGUACGUUGUUUCAGCCUAUGCUGGUGAUAGAUCUUUCUGCAUCAAAUUCAAUUAGCCGUUCCUUAGUGCUGCUGUCGUGUUACCAAAGUUACAUAAUUAUUUAAUGUAGUUCACCGUUAAUUUGUUAAGAAGGAACAAAAAAGAAAUAUGGGGAUGCUUAA